This 784-nucleotide ribosomal RNA is filed under the name uncultured bacterium. RNAcentral describes it as "bacterial SSU rRNA". It matches the Rfam family "Bacterial small subunit ribosomal RNA", at positions 59 to 834 of the family's 1533-position model. The record is from RNAcentral.
CAGUCGAGGGGCAUCGGGAGGAAAGCUUGCUUUCCUUGCCGGCGACCGGCGCACGGGUGAGUAACACGUAUGCAACCUGCCCUCUUCAGGGGGACAACCUUCCGAAAGGGAGGCUAAUCCCGCGUAUAUCGGUUUCGGGCAUCCGAGAUCGAGGAAAGAUUCAUCGGAAGAGGAUGGGCAUGCGGCGCAUUAGCUAGACGGCGGGGUAACGGCCCACCGUGGCGACGAUGCGUAGGGGUUCUGAGAGGAAGGUCCCCCACACUGGUACUGAGACACGGACCAGACUCCUACGGGAGGCAGCAGUGAGGAAUAUUGGUCAAUGGGAGAGAUCCUGAACCAGCCAAGCCGCGUGAGGGAAGACGGCCCUAUGGGUUGUAAACCUCUUUUGUCGGAGAACAAAACCCGGGACGUGUCCCGGACUGCGUGUAUCCGAAGAAAAAGCAUCGGCUAACUCCGUGCCAGCAGCCGCGGUAAUACGGAGGAUGCGAGCGUUAUCCGGAUUUAUUGGGUUUAAAGGGUGCGUAGGCGGUCCGUUAAGUCAGCGGUAAAAUUGCGGGGCUCAACCCCGUCGAGCCGUUGAAACUGGCAGACUUGAGUUGGCGAGAAGUACGCGGAAUGCGCGGUGUAGCGGUGAAAUGCAUAGAUAUCGCGCAGAACUCCGAUUGCGAAGGCAGCGUACCGGCGCCAGACUGACGCUGAGGCACGAAAGCGUGGGGAUCGAACAGGAUUAGAUACCCUGGUAGUCCACGCAGUAAACGAUGAAUGCUGGUUGUCCGGGUCGAUG